AACGAACGCUGGCGGCGCGCCUAAUACAUGCAAGUCGAGCGAGAAGACGUAGCAAUACGUUUGUAAAGCGGCGAACGGGUGAGGAAUACAUGGGUAACCUACCCUCGAGUGGGGAAUAACUAGCCGAAAGGUUAGCUAAUACCGCGUACGCUCCUUGGACUUCGGUUCAGGGAGGAAAGCGAUACCGUGGGUAUCGCGCUCUUGGAUGGGCUCAUGUCCUAUCAGCUUGUUGGNGAGGUAACGGCUCACCAAGGCUUCGACGGGUAGCUGGUCUGAGAGGACGAUCAGCCACACUGGCACUGCGACACGGGCCAGACUCCUACGGGAGGCAGCAAGUAAGGAAUAUUGCGCAAUGGGACGAAAGCCUGACGCAGCGACGCCGC
RNAcentral lists this ribosomal RNA (383 nucleotides) under uncultured bacterium. RNAcentral's name for it is "bacterial SSU rRNA". It matches the Rfam family "Bacterial small subunit ribosomal RNA", at positions 29 to 400 of the family's 1533-position model. The record is from RNAcentral.